UCUGGUGUCAGCAUUGUAUUACUUGCAAACCUUUGUACGCGAUAUUCGGCACUCAGACUUCCAUAGGCGGCUGAUAUAACAACUUCCAAAGAACUUACUAAAACUGAACACAUGGCGUCGGCAAAUGAUGAUCUGCUUAGAGAGUCUAAAGAAUGGAAUAGAAAGUACCAAAAAGGAGGUGUACUUCGAAUGGUCCUCGUCGGAACAAGAAGAAGUGGAAAAAGUUCCACAGGCAAUGCUAUUUUGCGUGGAAUUAAAUUCCCAGCUGGAUUAAGUGGGGGAAGAGUAACAAGAGAUAUUCGGAGAGAAGAAACGACUGUAAACAACAAAACACUGGCCAUCGUUGAUACACCGGGAUUUGUUAACAUGCAAAACGAUUCGCACGUCGAAAGCAUUAUGAAGAUAAUUGGCAAAGGCGCUAAAUUGGUUACUCCUGGGCCUAACGUUUUUUUAUUCGUUUUCUCAAUACUAGGUUUCUCUUAUGCAGACGAGAUGAUGAUUAAUUAUUUCUGUAAGAGGCAAAAGGAAAUGAUCAAAUAUGUGAUAGCUGUUUUUACGGGUCGAGAUAUCCUAGAGAAAAACCAAAGUAAUUUUGAUACAUAUAAAAGUCAACUUCCUUGGGAAAGUAAGGAAUUUUUGAACAAUUUACAUGACAGAGUGUUUGCCAUUGAUAAUACGAAACAUGAUAAAGAGGUCAACAAUUUCAUAAACAAAAUAGAGGAGGUUUCUACGCGAUCUGAAGAUUUCUAUUAUGAUUGCAAAAAAUUUAAAUAGAUGAGAAACACUGAACAGUCAUGCUGAAGGAAAAACAAUAUGUCUUUAUCACACAAAAAAAAAAAAGAAUUUGUUUAUUUUUUUUUUUGGCGUUUUUAUAAUAUAUUUAAGUUUAUAUAGAAACUAAGAUACUAAGUCUCUCAUUUGGUAAGUCAGGAGUAAACCCGUUGGAAGGAAAAAUAAAAUAGAAAGUUGAAGAGCUAUAAAAUCGAAAAUUCCGAAAGGUUGUGACAAAAAGAUCUCAGACAAUCUAUGCCUGGAGAAGGUGAAAAACCUUAUGUGUUUCGAAUAAUUCAAAUUUUCAUAAACAGUAAAUUUAGAAAUAUAGAUGUCUACCAUUUCUUGUUUGUUCCAGAAAAUAAGUUAUGUAGAGAUAUUUUUCAUUUGACAAAUUGUAAAUAUGACAUAUGAAACAAGUAUUUUACUCAUGUGAUAAGAUGGCUAGAAAACUUAUUUCUCAUCUAUUAUUAUGCUCUUUGAUAUCAAAUAGGUCAAAAUUGUUGUAUAUUUAAUAACUAUCUUAAGGUGCAUUGUCAACUAAAUUCGUUCACCUUUCAAUAAAUUCUGCCAUGUU
Molecule: long non-coding RNA, 1348 nt
Organism: Mytilus californianus (California mussel)
Lineage: Eukaryota; Metazoa; Mollusca; Bivalvia; Mytilida; Mytilidae
Exons: 4
Source: RefSeq, a predicted model, not a curated record